GCCGAAGUGGCUCAGGGGUAGAGCAGCUGAUUCGUAAUCAGCAGGUCAGGGGUUCAAAUCCCCUCUUCGGCUCCA
RNAcentral lists this transfer RNA (75 nucleotides) under Deltaproteobacteria bacterium. RNAcentral describes it as "tRNA-Thr". It matches the Rfam family "tRNA". Rfam says of the family: Transfer RNA (tRNA) molecules are approximately 80 nucleotides in length. Their secondary structure includes four short double-helical elements and three loops (D, anti-codon, and T loops). Lineage: Bacteria; Pseudomonadati; Myxococcota; Myxococcia. The record is from RNAcentral.